AGUCGCGCUCGGUCCCUGCCGCCGGUCGUCCGUCCGUCGCGUGCUGCCGCCUGCCACAACAGUGAGCGUUGAACACUUAGCAGUCCCACGGACAGCGCCGCACCGCUCCGACCUGACCCAGGUCAUCAGAGGCGGACCCGCAGCCCAGCUGGGCUCAGCUGCUCUCAGAUACUACUGAGGUGCAAAGGUUUGGACUUAACCGCAGUUUAGUGGAGGAGUCACUGCACUGCACUUCUGCCAUAAUUUGAAGAUUGAUCACGUCACAGAAGCGGAUUUCUGAAAAGAUGGGGGCAGCACGUGCAGCGGGCAUUCUGGCGGCGGUGGUAGCAGCGCUGGUGCUGCCACCUGCCGUGCUCGGCCUCGACAACGGCCUGGCACUGACGCCGCCCAUGGGAUGGCUGGCCUGGGAGAGGUUCCGGUGCAACACAGACUGCGUCAACGACCCCAAAAACUGCAUCAGUGAGAACCUGUUCUUUGAGAUGGCCGACCGUCUGGUGGCUGACGGCUACCUGGCUGCCGGCUACGAGUACAUCAACAUCGACGACUGCUGGUCGUCCCGCACCCGGGGCGACGACGGCCGACUGCGUGCCGACCCCGAGCGCUUCCCCAGCGGCAUCAAGGCGAUCGCCGACUAUGUUCACUCCAAGGGUCUAAAGCUGGGCAUUUACGGCGACUACGGCAACUACACGUGCGCCGGCUACCCGGGCAGCCUGGGACACCUGCAGACGGACGCGCAGACGUUCGCCGAGUGGAACGUCGACUUCGUCAAGUUCGACGGCUGCUACGCCCACCCUAAGGAUAUGGAUAAGGGAUACCCAGAGUUUGGGUUCCACCUGAACCAGACCGGUCGCCAGAUGGUCUACUCGUGCUCCUGGCCCGUGUACCAGAUCUUCAGCGGAAUGACGCCCGACUACGCGUCGAUCGCCAAGCACUGCAACCUGUGGCGGAACUACGACGACAUCCAGGACUCGUGGGCGUCGGUGACGACCAUCAUCGACUACUACGGUGACAAUCAGGACGUCCUGAUCCCGCUGGCCGGGCCCGGACACUGGAACGACCCCGACAUGCUCAUCAUCGGUAACUUCGGUCUCAGCUACGAGCAGAGUAAGGCGCAGAUGGCGCUCUGGGUGGUGAUGGCGUCGCCGCUGCUCAGCUCCGUCGACCUGCGCACCAUCGGACCCGAGUACCGGGCCAUUCUGCAGAACCGCGCCGCCAUCGCCAUUAGCCAGGACCCGCUCGGCAUCCAGGGCAAGCGCAUCUUCAAGGACAAGGGUAUUGAGAUCUGGGCGCGUCCGAUCACCCCGGUGGUGGGCGAGUACUACUCGUACGCCAUUGUGUUCUUCAACCGGCGUGUGGACGGCACUCCGAGCCAAGUGUCGGUCACCAUACACGAGCUGGGUAUGCUGAACGCCGCCGGAUACAGGACAGAGGACGUGUUUGCCGGCCAGUCGUACGGCGUGCUGUACCCGGCCGACCGUCUGAAGGUGGACGUCAACCCGUCUGGUGUGGUACUGGUGCGCUGCAGCGCGGUACCGGCGCGCGCGUUCGGCCGGCCGCCGCAGCAGCAACUCCAGAGAGGCGGACGGCCCUUCUUCACGACAACUCGCCCCAGGUUCUUCUGAGAUUUUGAACGCAAGAAGAGAUUAUGAGGUGCUAGCGCUCUCCGUGUCGAGACCUCGGCUACGGUCCCGUCGCCGAGCUGUCUGUCGACCCGCGCUGUCUGCCGAUCCUUGCUGUCUACCAGCCGUGAGAGCGGUUCGUGCCUUAGCACGAGGCCGACCCCCGCCUGUGUGUGGCGUCCUCCGGCCCGCCGGACUGAGUCGGCAGAGCGCACUGGAGACUGAUAGUUGGUGCUGCCUCGCGGGGCUUGUCCGGUCUCCCGGAGGGCGGAGCUGCAGGCUGCCAUGCCGUCAUUCAUGUGCAUCGUCUACUUUAUCAUUGUUCGAUUCUCCAUUGCGUGAUGUGAGCGGUGCCUUGCACGUAUUCAGAUAGUGUUUUGACGCGGUGUGAAUGUGAAAUGCUGCGGAUAGUCUUUUAUACGGGAGGGGAUAUGAAUUGAUGUGACGCUUUUGUAGGUUGAAUUCAGAUCUGGAGAUUACAUUGCUCAUUCCAUUGCUGAUAGCACGUGAGCAUGCGUUGGUGAACUUUAUCACGUGUGUUGAGUGGAAUUGUACCAACAUUCCGGUAUCUUUGUCGACUGUUGACCCGUGUGAGCUAGCGCUGGACAGGCAGGCUGUUGUGUACUGUGUCGUGGCUUAGCAAUACACUAGUGGCUGACACA
Molecule: unclassified non-coding RNA, 2281 nt
Filed under: Amphibalanus amphitrite
Lineage: Eukaryota; Metazoa; Arthropoda; Thecostraca; Balanomorpha; Balanidae
Description: alpha-N-acetylgalactosaminidase-like, transcript variant X5
Source: RNAcentral